GACCCAUUAGCUCAGUUGGCAGAGCACAUGACUUUUAAUCAUGGUGUCCCGCGUUCGAAUCGCGGAUGGGUCACCA
RNAcentral lists this transfer RNA (76 nucleotides) under Corallococcus sp. CAG:1435. Its description in RNAcentral is "transfer RNA-Lys(TTT)". It matches the Rfam family "tRNA". From Rfam's summary of the family: Transfer RNA (tRNA) molecules are approximately 80 nucleotides in length. Their secondary structure includes four short double-helical elements and three loops (D, anti-codon, and T loops). The record is from RNAcentral. Lineage: Bacteria; Pseudomonadati; Myxococcota; Myxococcia; Myxococcales; Myxococcaceae. RNAcentral also lists the same sequence under 1 other name.